GAGGGUGUAGCUCAGUGGUAGAGUGCAUGCUUAGCAUGCAUGAGGUCCUGGAUUCAAUCCCCAGUACUUCCA
Molecule: transfer RNA, 72 nt
Filed under: Camelus bactrianus (Bactrian camel)
Lineage: Eukaryota; Metazoa; Chordata; Mammalia; Artiodactyla; Camelidae
Also listed under: 2 other names
Rfam family: tRNA
About the family: Transfer RNA (tRNA) molecules are approximately 80 nucleotides in length. Their secondary structure includes four short double-helical elements and three loops (D, anti-codon, and T loops). Further hydrogen bonds mediate the characteristic L-shaped molecular structure. tRNAs have two regions of fundamental functional importance: the anti-codon, which is responsible for specific mRNA codon recognition, and the 3' end, to which the tRNAs corresponding amino acid is attached (by aminoacyl-tRNA synthetases). tRNAs cope with the degeneracy of the genetic code in two manners: having more than one tRNA (with a specific anti-codon) for a particular amino acid; and 'wobble' base-pairing, i.e. permitting non-standard base-pairing at the 3rd anti-codon position.
Source: Rfam by way of RNAcentral